RNAcentral lists this long non-coding RNA (1032 nucleotides) under Homo sapiens (human). Its description in RNAcentral is "HSALNT0002899". The record is from RNAcentral. Lineage: Eukaryota; Metazoa; Chordata; Mammalia; Primates; Hominidae.
GGAGGGCUCUUGGCUCUAGCUGUCCCCUGAACUGACCUGGGUGUCACAAACAUGUGGCUGCUGAGCUGGGCUUAUAAGAGCCAUGUGGCUGAAGGGAUAAGGGGGCACUUCCCACUCUCUCAGGCCCCAGGGAAGGAGAGAAACUGCUGAGCGGCAGGCUUCCACUGGGGAGAAUCUGCAUGGGCCGGCCCUGCUACUCCAAGUAGGUAGAAACAAGUCACCUGGUGAACCCCAAGGUGGCCAGAAAGACCGCUUUCCAGGGCAGCCCCUGCUGCCUGCUCUGUAAGGAUUGUCCCUCGGACUCCUCCAGCCCCACUCCUCCAGCUCAUCAAAGGCAUCAACUACCUGGACCAAUCCACCAAUGCCUAUAACAGCUGCCACAAGACAUUGCAGAGCCUGCCAAAGCUUGCAGCCAACUACCUGGAAAGGGCUGCCAGCUCCCUCAACCUAGACCACCAGGACCACCCCUUGCCCCAGAGUUACUCCAGCCCCAGCACCAGCGUGACCAUCCCAAACAACUCCACCACCAGCACCUGCAUGGUGCUGUCCCUCAGGGGUGCCAGUGCCCUGCAGUGCCUGGAUGACUCCACCAACACGAGUUAUCCGUGCAGGUCUCAUUGCCAGAACUUCACUAUCGCGCUGCCACGGGGUCCACGUACAAAGCUGCCUGAGCUCCCUUUGCUUAGCAAUGGGCUCUUUGCCUUAGGUUGUCUGCCCAAGGUCUGGGAAGCAAUCUGCUCAGGCUGGAGUGACCCUGAGCCCAUCUCCAAACCCCCAAGCUGGUGGUGACACUGACGCCAACUGUGAAACGUGCACAUGCCCCUCAGGCCACAGUUGUGGAAAAUAAAUCGUCUGUGGCAAAAUACUUCUUCUAAGACUUUGUUGGAGGGGAAUGGCCAUUUAGAUUAGGGUUAUAAACUCAAGGGCCUCUGGGGCCAGGCAGGGAAAAGUGAAAUGAGAGAAUUUCAGGCAGGGCAGUAGCAGGGAAUGAUAGACUGUGGAUGGGUGGAGAGGGACUGCCUAGUCUCAACC